Molecule: transfer RNA, 67 nt
Filed under: Pinctada albina
Lineage: Eukaryota; Metazoa; Mollusca; Bivalvia; Pterioida; Pteriidae
Description: tRNA-Lys
Rfam family: tRNA
About the family: Transfer RNA (tRNA) molecules are approximately 80 nucleotides in length. Their secondary structure includes four short double-helical elements and three loops (D, anti-codon, and T loops).
Source: RNAcentral
CCUGGGGUAGCUUAAGUGGAUAAAGCGUCGGACUUUUAAUCUGAAGAUGUUGCAGAGACUCCCGGGG